CGGACAUGCAAGGACGUUGUGAUAAAUCGGCUCCUCAUUCUCAGUACGUUCAGAAGAUCUUGCAUGAUGUUAAUCCAGAAAAAAAUAACCCGAGUUGAGGUAGCUUAUAGCCCAGAGGGUUCCGGGUCUCAGCCAGAGGGACACUGUUACUUCACGCUGAUCCAUCUGCCAGUUCCUCCAGUACUGUCUGUCAGUCUCUCCAGUUCUCGCCUCGUCCUAAAACUGCCCUAGCACCC
Molecule: non-coding RNA, 236 nt
Organism: Paramormyrops kingsleyae
Lineage: Eukaryota; Metazoa; Chordata; Actinopteri; Osteoglossiformes; Mormyridae
Source: RefSeq, a predicted model, not a curated record